This 452-nucleotide ribosomal RNA is filed under the name uncultured bacterium. RNAcentral describes it as "bacterial SSU rRNA". It matches the Rfam family "Bacterial small subunit ribosomal RNA", at positions 28 to 507 of the family's 1533-position model. The record is from RNAcentral.
GAUGAACGCUGGCGGCGUGCCUAACACAUGCAAGUCGAGCGAUUCUCUUCGGAGAAGAGCGGCGGACGGGUGAGUAACGCGUGGGUAACCUGCCCUGUACACACGGAUAACAUACCGAAAGGUAUGCUAAUACGAGAUAAUAUACUUUUAUCGCAUGGUAGAAGUAUCAAAGCUCCGGCGGUACAGGAUGGACCCGCGUCUGAUUAGCUAGUUGGUAAGGUAACGGCUUACCAAGGCGACGAUCAGUAGCCGACCUGAGAGGGUGAUCGGCCACAUUGGAACUGAGACACGGUCCAAACUCCUACGGGAGGCAGCAGUGGGGAAUAUUGCACAAUGGGCGAAAGCCUGAUGCAGCAACGCCGCGUGAGCGAUGAAGGCCUUCGGGUCGUAAAGCUCUGUCCUCAAGGAAGAUAAUGACGGUACUUGAGGAGGAAGCCCCGGCUAACUACGUG